This 301-nucleotide ribosomal RNA is filed under the name uncultured bacterium. Its description in RNAcentral is "partial 16S ribosomal RNA". It matches the Rfam family "Bacterial small subunit ribosomal RNA", at positions 510 to 808 of the family's 1533-position model. The record is from RNAcentral.
CAUAGCCACGGUAAUACGUAGGGUGCAAGCGUUAAUCGGAAUUACUGGGCGUAAAGCGUGCGCAGGCGGUUCGUUAAGACAGAUGUGAAAUCCCCGGGCUUAACCUGGGAACUGCAUUUGUGACUGGCGGGCUAGAGUAUGGCAGAGGGGGGUAGAAUUCCACGUGUAGCAGUGAAGUGCGUAGAGAUGUGGAGGAAUACCGAUGGCGAAGGCAGCCCCCUGGGCCAAUACUGACGCUCAUGCACGAAAGCGUGGGGAGCAAACAGGAUUAGAUACCCCAGUAGUCCCUGUCUCUUAUACC